Molecule: ribosomal RNA, 460 nt
Filed under: uncultured bacterium
Lineage: Bacteria
Description: partial 16S ribosomal RNA
Rfam family: Bacterial small subunit ribosomal RNA
Source: RNAcentral
CCUACGGGUGGCAGCAGUGAGGAAUAUUGCUCAAUGGGCGUAAGCCUGAACCAGCCAAGUCGCGUGAGUGAUGAAGGUUCUCUGGAUCGUAAACCUCUUUUAUAAGGGAAUAAAGUGUGGGACGUGUCCUAUUUUGUCUGUACCUUAUGAAUCAGGAUCGGCUAACUCCGUGCCAGCAGCCGCGGUAAUACGGAGGAUCCGAGCGUUAUCCGGAUUUAUUGGGUUUAAAGGGUGCGUAGGCGGCCUUUUAAGUCAGGAGUGCAAGUCUGUGGCUCAACCAUAGAAUUGCCGUUGAAACUGGGGGGCUGGAGUAUGUGUGAGGUAGGCGGAAUGCGUGGUGUAGCGGUGAAAUGCUUAGAUAGUAGGAAGAACCCCGAUUGCGAAGGCAGCCUGCCAAGCCAUGACUGACGCUGAGGCACGAAAGCGUGGGGAUCAAACAGGAUUAGAUACCCGAGUAGUC